UGGUUUAUUUUUGACUGGAGCGCUAACGCUAACCAGAAACCAGCGGGCUUGCAUUAACGCAGAAUGACAAAUCUAGAAAUCAGGACUUUAUUAGUUGCAGUCGCCAUUCAUGGAGUCUUGGGUCAGAUCAAACUGGAGCAGUCGCCCUCUGUGGUGAAAAAGCCCGGAGAAGCAGCAAAGCUAUCCUGCUCUGUGAAUGGAUUUGACAAAGCUAACGAGUUUGUUCACUGGACACGGCAAAAGACAGGGAAAACUCUUGAGUGGAUCGGAAGACAGUCACUGUCAUGAUAGUGAAUGAGAUGGCAGCACUGUGAUGCCUUAGAUUACUGGGGUGAAGGGACCAGAGUCACAGUGACUUCAGAACCACCUGUACCUCCGGUUCUGGUCCCGAUGGUUUGGUUCAGUCCUGCAUCUGGAGAUAAAGUCACCCUCAGCUGCAUGGCUCUUGACUUCUACCCACAGAGUCUUUCUUUUGAGUGGAGCGAUGCGAGUGGAGCACCACUGGAUUCUGUACGUUAUCCUGCAGUAGAAACAAACAACAGAUUUACAGAAGUCAGUUUGGUUCAAAUGUCCAGAUCUGAAGCAAAUCUAAAGUCUUAUCGAUGUUCAGUGACUCAUCCUGGUGGCACCAAGACUGUGGAUGCAAAAUGGGCCUCCUGUACCCCAAAACUGACUGUACUCUCGGUGACAACUGGAGACGGUCAGACACUUGUGUGCGUCAUUGAGGAUUUUUCUUCUGAAAAUCUUUUAACCAAAUGGAAAAGGAAUGGCAGUGAAGUGUCUGGACACAAUGAAUGGCCUCCCAAAAAACUCGGAGACUCGUAUUCAGCCGCCAGCGUCCUAAAAUUGAAGAGCUCUGACUGGGAGAGUGAAGCUGUUUACUCAUAUGAAGUGACUUACCUUGGAAAAACUUACACAAAGAAAGCUUCAAAAGCUCCUACCACAGUGACACUGAAACCUCCGAGUCCUAAAAAAAUGUUCAGCAACAACCAGGCAGAGUUGGAGUGUGUCGUCUCUGGACAGGACAAUGACAUUGUGUCAGGGACUGAAAUCACCUGGGAGAUUAAUGGAGAACUUAUGAGAAGUAAGAUUAAGGAAGCAACAAUGUUUGAAGGCAGUAAACACAGCAUCAUCACUUUUAAUUCCUCCGACUGGAGGACAGUGAGCAAAGUGAGAUGUUCUGCUGUAGCAGAAGACGUGGGACCAGUUAUUCAAGACCUGACUGUCAACAAAGGAGACGGCACAGAGCCAAAAGUAACAGUCCACGUGCUUCCAGAGAAGGAUAUUGGCAAAGAAGCAUCAGCUCAGGUCACUCUGGUGUGUUUGGUUUCCAGUGAUGUCCUUCAGGAUUACUAUAUUGCCUGGACUGAAGAUGUUGGACAAAGUAGCUCAGUGUGUUACGAUGGCAUCGACUUUCCACCAAGAAAGACCAAAAAUGGCUACUCAGUUGUAAGUGUUUACGCCACCAACAAGGAGAAGUGGAGCGGAGGCUACGUCUUCUAUUGCAACGUGUGGCCUGCCGGCCGUGGGAAUCCCAUGAAACCCAGUGGAGUGUCUCGGGCCAUGGAUUUCUCCAGUCUGACAUUUCCUCUGAACAGCAAAGAUAAAGGUGGUGAUGAAGAUGAAUACAGCAGCCUUUGGUUCAUGGCCUCGUCUUUCCUAUUCCUCUUCAUAUUCAGUCUGUCAUACAGCUUAAUGCUCACCCUGCACAAGAUGAAACAAGAGCAGAGGAAUGUGCGACAAACACAGUAGUCUUUUCUUGUCUAUUGGAAUGGAUGAACCAUCACAAAGUUGUACAUUUCCAGUCAGAUCUGUUUAUGCUUUUUAACAUGUAUUCUUCAAAAACGUAGCAGUUAUCUGUUUUCUUAGAAAUGCACAUGAGUAAUUUUAUGUUUUUACUGUAGUUAUCAAAGUGUUGCCAUCCUAAAAGUGCUGUAAUGUUGUUUACAUUUCAAUACAGUAUAUUGAUGAUCUCUUAACAAUCUGUAACUUAUGUUUCCAUAUACAGUUAAACAAUGCUGUCUUCUUUUAGAGCUGGUGAUAACAACGUACAGCAAGAAUCACUGUUAUGGCAUCUUUUGUAGUUUUUAAUUUUCAUGUGUGUUGAAAACAUUAAAUAUGUAAAUGCAAACAAGAACUUUUGAGGUUUUCUUUUUACCAGAUCAGAGAAGACAUCAGUUUUUUCAGAUAACGACCCUUCAAGCCUUUAUAGCGUGACCGGCCGUUAUCAGUUAAGUCUUGUAGGUUUCCAGUUUCCCUUCAGAGAGCCGAUUCCUCUUUCUCUGUGUACCUCUGAGAAAACACCUGCAGCUGUGAAACUUUGUGAAAACCACCAGAAAUAUAAAUAAAACUUUCAGACGGCAGAAACGCAUCUGACUCCUUUCAUUUGAAUGUCAGCUGUAGCUCUCAGUUCAAGCUGCUUCCUGACUUACAUCUUGACAUAAAAUGAUCAAGCAGUAGGUCGGUGAAGGAAAUACCUCAUAUUUUGCGACUUUCUUUUUGAUGAAACAUUAAAAAUGUGAGAUAUCAACCUUUUAGGCAUUUAUCUUCAACCCUCAUUUGA
Xiphophorus couchianus (Monterrey platyfish) is the source of this 2563-nucleotide non-coding RNA. The record is from the annotation of a RefSeq genome assembly. NCBI's taxonomy places the organism in Eukaryota, Metazoa, Chordata, Actinopteri, Cyprinodontiformes, Poeciliidae.